UACGGAGGAUCCAAGCGUUAUCCGGAAUCAUUGGGUUUAAAGGGUCCGUAGGCGGUCUUUUAAGUCAGAGGUGAAAUCCUACAGCUCAACUGUAGAAUUGCCUUUGAUACUGAAAGACUUGAGUUAUUGUGAAGUAGUUAGAAUGUGUGGUGUAGCGGUGAAAUGCAUAGAGAUCACACAGAAUACCGAUUGCGAAGGCAGAUUACUAACAAUAUACUGACGCUGAGGGACGAAAGCGU
RNAcentral lists this ribosomal RNA (239 nucleotides) under uncultured bacterium. RNAcentral's name for it is "partial 16S ribosomal RNA". It matches the Rfam family "Bacterial small subunit ribosomal RNA", at positions 524 to 762 of the family's 1533-position model. The record is from RNAcentral.